RNAcentral lists this RNase P RNA (399 nucleotides) under Mannheimia cairinae. RNAcentral's name for it is "RNase P RNA component class A". It matches the Rfam family "Bacterial RNase P class A". From Rfam's summary of the family: Ribonuclease P (RNase P) is a ubiquitous endoribonuclease, found in archaea, bacteria and eukarya as well as chloroplasts and mitochondria. Lineage: Bacteria; Pseudomonadati; Pseudomonadota; Gammaproteobacteria; Pasteurellales; Pasteurellaceae. The record is from RNAcentral.
UGAGUUGGUUAGACAAUCGCUGGUUUAUUGAAGCCCUUAGUGUCGCAAGGCAAAGCCUGAAAUAGGUGAUAAGUGGGACAAGUAAACGAGAGGAAAGUCCGAGCUACAUAGGGCAGAGUGCCAGAUAACGUCUGGGGGGCGUGAGCCUACGACCAGUGCAACAGAGAGCAGACCGCCGAUGUACGUAAGUGCAGGUAAGGGUGAAAGGGUGUGGUAAGAGCACACCGCGUGGGUGGUAACAUUCCACGGCACGGUAAACUCCACUCGUAGCAAGACCAAAUAGGAACUCAAUCGGUGGCCCGCCGAGAGUUCGGGUAGGUUGCUUGAGCGUAUGUGUGAAUAUACGCCUAGAGGAAUGAUUGUCCAAGACAGAACUCGGCUUAUCGACCGACUCAUCUA